AGAGUUUGAUGGUGGCUCAGGNNGAACGCUAGCGGGAGGCCUAACACAUGCAAGUCGAGGGGUAACGGAAGUAGCUUGCUACUAGACGACGACCGGCGCACGGGUGAGUAACGCGUAUGUAAUCUGCCUUGUACAGAGGGAUAGCCCAGAGAAAUUUGGAUUAAUACCUCAUAGUAUUACCGAAUCGCAUGAUUUGGUAAUUAAAGCUCCGGCGGUACAAGAUGAACAUGCGUGACAUUAGCUAGUUGGUAAGGUAACGGCUUACCAAGGCUACGAUGUCUAGGGGUUCUGAGAGGAUGAUCCCCCACACUGGUACUGAGACACGGACCAGACUCCUACGGGAGGCAGCAGUGAGGAAUAUUGGUCAAUGGACGCAAGUCUGAACCAGCCAUCCCGCGUGAAGGAUGACUGCCCUAUGGGUUGUAAACUUCUUUUAUAUGCAAAUAAACCUACUUUCGUGAAAGUAGCUGAAGGUAGCAUAUGAAUAAACACCGGCUAACUCCGUGCCAGCAGCCGCGGUAAUACGGAGGGUGUAAGCGUUAUCCGGAUUUAUUGGGUUUAAAGGGUACGUAGGCGGUAAUAUAAGUCAGUGGUGAAAUCCUGCAGCUCAACUGUAGAACUGCCAUUGAAACUGUAUUACUUGAGUAUACUUGAGGUAGGCGGAAUGAGUAGUGUAGCGGUGAAAUGCUUAGAUAUUACUCAGAACACCGAUUGCGAAGGCAGCUUACUAAGGUAUAACUGACGCUGAUGUACGAAAGCGUGGGGAGCGAACAGGAUUAGAUACCCUG
RNAcentral lists this ribosomal RNA (788 nucleotides) under uncultured bacterium. RNAcentral's name for it is "bacterial SSU rRNA". It matches the Rfam family "Bacterial small subunit ribosomal RNA", at positions 8 to 789 of the family's 1533-position model. The record is from RNAcentral.